RNAcentral lists this ribosomal RNA (444 nucleotides) under Salmonella enterica subsp. enterica serovar Galiema. RNAcentral's name for it is "partial 23S ribosomal RNA". It matches the Rfam family "Bacterial large subunit ribosomal RNA", at positions 76 to 559 of the family's 2925-position model. The record is from RNAcentral. Lineage: Bacteria; Pseudomonadati; Pseudomonadota; Gammaproteobacteria; Enterobacterales; Enterobacteriaceae.
CGCCGGUAAGGUGAUAUGAACCGUUAUAACCGGCGAUUUCCGAAUGGGGAAACCCAGUGUGAUUCGUCACACUAUCAUUAACUGAAUCCAUAGGUUAAUGAGGCGAACCGGGGGAACUGAAACAUCUAAGUACCCCGAGGAAAAGAAAUCAACCGAGAUUCCCCCAGUAGCGGCGAGCGAACGGGGAGGAGCCCAGAGCCUGAAUCAGCAUGUGUGUUAGUGGAAGCGUCUGGAAAGGCGCGCGAUACAGGGUGACAGCCCCGUACACAAAAGCGCAUGUGCUGUGAGCUCGAUGAGUAGGGCGGGACACGUGGUAUCCUGUCUGAAUAUGGGGGGACCAUCCUCCAAGGCUAAAUACUCCUGACUGACCGAUAGUGAACCAGUACCGUGAGGGAAAGGCGAAAAGAACCCCGGCGAGGGGAGUGAAAAAGAACCUGAAACCGU